This 544-nucleotide ribosomal RNA is filed under the name Talaromyces minioluteus. Its description in RNAcentral is "eukaryotic LSU rRNA". The stretch from base 220 to 373 matches the Rfam family "5.8S ribosomal RNA". The record is from RNAcentral. Lineage: Eukaryota; Fungi; Ascomycota; Eurotiomycetes; Eurotiales; Trichocomaceae.
GUAACAAGGUUUCCGUAGGUGAACCUGCGGAAGGAUCAUUACCGAGUGCGGGCCCUCGUGGCCCAACCUCCCACCCUUGUCUCUAUACACCUGUUGCUUUGGCGGGCCCACCGGGGCCACCUGGUCGCCGGGGGACAUCUGUCCCCGGGCCCGCGCCCGCCGAAGCGCUCUGUGAACCCUGAUGAAGAUGGGCUGUCUGAGUACUAUGAAAAUUGUCAAAACUUUCAACAAUGGAUCUCUUGGUUCCGGCAUCGAUGAAGAACGCAGCGAAAUGCGAUAAGUAAUGUGAAUUGCAGAAUUCCGUGAAUCAUCGAAUCUUUGAACGCACAUUGCGCCCCCUGGCAUUCCGGGGGGCAUGCCUGUCCGAGCGUCAUUUCUGCCCUCAAGCACGGCUUGUGUGUUGGGUGCGGUCCCCCCGGGGACCUGCCCGAAAGGCAGCGGCGACGUCCGUCUGGUCCUCGAGCGUAUGGGGCUUUGUCACUCGCUCGGGAAGGACUGGCGGGGGUUGGUCACCACCAAAAUUUUACCACGGUUGACCUCGGAU